Molecule: ribosomal RNA, 245 nt
Filed under: uncultured bacterium
Lineage: Bacteria
Description: partial 16S ribosomal RNA
Rfam family: Bacterial small subunit ribosomal RNA
Source: RNAcentral
GAUCAUGGCUCAGAUUGAACGCUGGCGGCAGGCUUAACACAUGCAAGUCGAACGGUAACAUAAAGAAGCUUGCUUCUUUGAUGACGAGUGGCGGACGGGUGAGUAAUGCUUGGGAAUCUAGCUUAUGGAGGGGGAUAACUACGGGAAACUGUAGCUAAUACCGCGUAGUAUCGAAAGAUUAAAGUGUGGGACCUUCGGGCCACAUGCCAUAGGAUGAGCCCGAAGUGGGAUUAGGUAGUUGGUGG